RNAcentral lists this ribosomal RNA (726 nucleotides) under Triticum aestivum (bread wheat). Its description in RNAcentral is "partial small subunit ribosomal RNA". Lineage: Eukaryota; Viridiplantae; Streptophyta; Magnoliopsida; Poales; Poaceae. The record is from RNAcentral.
AUGGUACGUCCCGCUGAUGACACUCCGGCUGGGCACGGUGGUCGUGAUCAUCGCCUCCUCCGUGGCCACGGCCCGGGAGGUCCUCCAGAGGCACAACGCCGUCCUGUCCUGCCGCAGCACACCUCCAACUCCGUUUUCCUCCUGACGCCGCGCUGCAACCCACAAGUGGCGUGCGCUGCAGAGGAUCGGCGCCGAGCACCUGCAGUCACCCAGGGGCUCGACGGGGAUGCGCUGCGGCCGCUGCUAUGGGACGCCGUCCUCGGCAUGCUCCGCCGCGUGUCGGACCUGGCGGCGUCGGGCGCGCCCGUGGAGGUCGGCCACGCGGCGUUCGCGUCCAUGAUGGACCUACAGUGGCGCGUCAUGUUCUCUGCCGGCCUGGACGAGCCGACGUCCCGCGAGUUGCACGGCUUCGCGGGGAGGCCGUGGCGCACUCCCUCAGGCCCAACGUCUCGGACUUCUUCCCGGCGCUCGCGGCUGCCGACCUCCAGCGCGUUAGGCGCGGUUUUACCACACACUUGGCGCCAUCUAUGGCGUGUGCGGCACCUACGACAACAACGUCGGCGCCCUCAACGGCGUUCUCCGCGACAUGCUCUCCCAUGGCACGGCUCGCCCAUGCUCUUCAUCGACGAGACGAUCCCGGCGCGGAUCUUCUUCAAGUCGUGGCAGCCAGCGGCCGUUGCAGGCACCGAGGUGCCGCGCGCCAUCCUCGUGGUGCUGGCCCCCUAG